UACGUAGGGUGCAAGCGUUAAUCGGAAUUACUGGGCGUAAAGCGUGCGCAGGCGGUUAUGUAAGACAGGUGUGAAAUCCCCGGGCUUAACCUGGGAACUGCGUCUGAUACUGGAUGGCUUGAGUUUGGGAGAGGGAUGCGGAAUUCCAGGUGUAGCGGUGAAAUGCGCAGAUAUCAGGAAGAACACCAAUGGCGAAAGCAGCUUUCUGGGACGGUACUGACGCUGAGACGCGAAAGCGUGGGGAGCGAACAGG
Molecule: ribosomal RNA, 253 nt
Filed under: uncultured bacterium
Lineage: Bacteria
Description: partial 16S ribosomal RNA
Rfam family: Bacterial small subunit ribosomal RNA
Source: RNAcentral